Molecule: ribosomal RNA, 693 nt
Filed under: Lachnospiraceae bacterium P76
Lineage: Bacteria; Bacillati; Bacillota; Clostridia; Lachnospirales; Lachnospiraceae
Description: bacterial SSU rRNA
Rfam family: Bacterial small subunit ribosomal RNA
Source: RNAcentral
ACGCUGGCGGCGUGCUUAACACAUGCAAGUCGAACGAAGCACUUUCUUACGAUCCCUUCGGGGUGACGAGUUUGUGACUGAGUGGCGGACGGGUGAGUAACGCGUGGGUAACCUGCCUUAUACAGGGGGAUAACAGUUGGAAACGGCUGCUAAUACCGCAUAAGCGCACAGUAUCGCAUGAUACAGUGUGAAAAACUCCGGUGGUAUAAGAUGGACCCGCGUCUGAUUAGCUAGUUGGUGAGGUAACGGCUCACCAAGGCGACGAUCAGUAGCCGAUCUGAGAGGAUGAACGGCCACAUUGGGACUGAGACACGGCCCAGACUCCUACGGGAGGCAGCAGUGGGGAAUAUUGCACAAUGGGCGAAAGCCUGAUGCAGCGACGCCGCGUGAGCGAUGAAGUAUUUCGGUAUGUAAAGCUCUAUCAGCAGGGAAGAUAAUGACGGUACCUGACUAAGAAGCACCGGCUAAAUACGUGCCAGCAGCCGCGGUAAUACGUAUGGUGCAAGCGUUAUCCGGAUUUACUGGGUGUAAAGGGAGCGUAGGCGGUCUUGCAAGUCUGAUGUGAAAGCCCGGGGCUCAACCGCGGGAUUGCAUUGGAAACUGUAGGACUUGAGUAUCGGAGAGGUAAGUGGAAUUCCUAGUGUAGCGGUGAAAUGCGUAGAUAUUAGGAGGAACACCAGUGGCGAAGGCGGC